This 492-nucleotide ribosomal RNA is filed under the name uncultured bacterium. Its description in RNAcentral is "partial 16S ribosomal RNA". It matches the Rfam family "Bacterial small subunit ribosomal RNA", at positions 29 to 507 of the family's 1533-position model. The record is from RNAcentral.
AGUGAACGCUGGCGGUAGGCCUAACACAUGCAAGUCGAACGGCAGCACAGUAAGAGCUUGCUCUUACGGGUGGCGAGUGGCGGACGGGUGAGGAAUACAUCGGAAUCUACUUUUUCGUGGGGGAUAACGUAGGGACACUUACGCUAAUACCGCAUACGACCUACGGGUGAAAGCAGGGGAUCUUCGGACCUUGCGCGAUUGAAUGAGCCGAUGUCGGAUUAGCUAGUUGGCGGGGUAAAGGCCCACCAAGGCGACGAUCCGUAGCUGGUCUGAGAGGAUGAUCAGCCACACUGGAACUGAGACACGGUCCAGACUCCUACGGGAGGCAGCAGUGGGGAAUAUUGGACAAUGGGCGCAAGCCUGACCCAGCCAUACCGCGUGGGUGAAGAAGGCCUUCGGGUUGUAAAGCCCUUUUGUUGGGAAAGAAAAGCAGCAGGUUAAUACCCCGCUGUUCUGACGGUACCCAAAGAAUAAGCACCGGCUAACUUCGUG